This 410-nucleotide long non-coding RNA is filed under the name Nicotiana benthamiana. RNAcentral's name for it is "long non-coding RNA (NBEN_LNC019620)". Lineage: Eukaryota; Viridiplantae; Streptophyta; Magnoliopsida; Solanales; Solanaceae. The record is from RNAcentral.
UUCAAUCGUCUCUUUUAGAGAGCAAACAACCCAAACCCCAAUAGCCGCCACCAUACUCCACUGCCUGAAACCUGGCGGCCAGUGCUCCGUUCACCGCCAAAUUAACACCCCUUAACCUCAUCACACCUCCAAUCCAAAUCCACCCUCCAUCACCUUCAAAUCAUCCUCGAGUUCUUCAAAUUUUAGAUCGAAGAACUGACCUCGAACCCUAAACCUACCAAAUCAGUCCCAAAUCAACACCUCUUGACCCCUGGACCUCCCUCAUCCAUAAACUACUCCUAGUUUCCCUCGAAUCAAAUCGGAGUUUGUCGUAUCUUAAAUCGAAUAGAAGAGCACUGAGUUUUCAAAUCAAGAGCAUCUAUUGAAGAUUUGGGACCGAAAUAGGUUUUAUUCGUGCAUUCUCAUUUGAG